UAUAUAUAUAUAUAUAUGUGUGUGUGUGUAUAUAUAUAGCUAUAUACUAAAAUUUAUAUAUAUAUAUAUAUAUAUAUAUAUAAAUUUUAGUACAUAGCUGUCAUUAUUGUUCUAAAAAUUAUCUGGUUGUUUAUAACACUAACUCUAACUUGUAGAAGCCAGUGCACUGCCGAAGCAAAUUCCUCAGUUGAUCAUAAGUGUGUUUGUUGAAACAGAAUGUAUGAGAAAUUUUCUUCUGUCAGUAAAUUAGAGAGAGGUUGCCAGAACGAUUUAUAUACAUAGGCAGUUUUCAACAGCCCUAACACUGUAGUUUUCCUAGCAUUAAAUUUUAACUGAAUGUAGGAGUCACUCGAAAAUAGCAAAUUCAUUCUUUCUCAGAAAGUAGAUCAUAACUGCAAUAAGUAGGGUAGUACUAGUUAAAAUUUUUAUUUUUCUCAGAAUGUUUUUACUGUAUUGGUUAUAAAUAAUCCAAUCCUAUGCUGUUUUGAAUUUGGGAAAUUUAUGCUACUGACAGAAUCGGAAAGUCUGAUGAAUAGCAGCAUUCCCCCAUUGCUUUGGAUGAUUUCUCCCCCUUUUUUACUCUUAUCAACAGUUGUUUCACGGUGUCUCCAAAAAUAUCGUUAUUUGUGAGAGUCUGUAUGAAAGUAAUUGUUCCACAAAUAAUUUAAGGACGUAAUUAAGAUAAAAGAAGGCAUUAUAAUAAAGAAACCUUGAAAUAAAAUAUAAAUUGUGUGUGCGGGUGUCAUCUCAGUACUUUCCCCAGUAUUCCUUAUAUUUUAAAUGUAGCAAGUAACAACAUACUUUCAAAGUUGCUUCCUUUGGCUAAUUAAGAUACAGUUAAGAUAUUUAAACUUAUUUUUCAUUUUAUAAUUUUACUUCAUUUUUAAAUAUGUUAUUUUUCAAAUAACUUAAGAUGUGUAUUUGAAAUUUUAUUUAAUAAAUCUUAAGGCAAUAAUCCAUAUGUACUUUUAAACUUUUCAUAGUAUUCAUAUUUUGUACUCCUAUUGUGUUAACAUUUUAAAUUAAAUUUCCAUUUUUCUCCAUUGUUUGUAUUUUCUUUCACUUCAUGUUUCCGAUAAAUUUCAAAGAAACUUUGUUACCUGCAAAUAUGCUUUAGCUGGCACGAAUUCAGUUGAUUAUAACCCUAGAAGAUGUAAAAGCAAGUGGCCACAUACUUUUGUAUUUACAGCAUGUUAAUUGACAGAAACGUUUUUUUCAGCUAUAAACAAAAUUAUGCGUCUUCCAGAAGUAUAGUGUAACGAAAUCAUGCCCACUAAAACAUAGUCAUGGGUUCAAAGGGUUAAACCUCAUUGUUUCAGGUUUUAUUCAUGUAUUUAUAGUUGUGUGGUUGUGAUUGUUAGAGACUCUUAUGAAAUUUUUUCCUGAGAAAUAUAAAAGAUUAUAUAUUUUUGUUUUUAAUCUAAAAAGAAAAAUAAUGCAGAUAGGGGAAAUUCUAUUUCUGAAACAAAAUAUGAUUCAUGACUGGAGAAUCAGUUCUCUCCGAAUCUGAAAUUCUAAUUUAUGUCUUUUUAUAAUUGCAGUCAAAGCUACAAAAAAAAAAAAAAAAGUAACGUUUUAAAGACCAUUUCUUUUGGAAAAAAUAAGGGUUUUCAAGCAAUCAAAUAUAUUGUCUGUGAAUGCAAGCAGUCCAAAGGAGAAAUUGUGUAUGUUAUGUCAACUGCUUAUAUUUGCACACACACACACGUGUGUGAAGUGCUGCAAAUAAACUGAUCAAUUCGGUCUCUUUAAAAACAGUGUUUAUGAUUUAAUCUCUAUUCUUUUGCUGGUUUUGGUCAUUGAACUAUGGUCAUUCUGAGGCAUCACUCCAAUUUCUUUAAAACUUUUAAUUAAAAUUAAUCAUUUGAGUUUUAAGUCUUCUAAUGUAUAAAAUUGGUUUCUAUAGAAAAGCUCCCAAAUGUAUCAUAAUGAUAUUGUAGGAACAUUUGAAUUAAGCUUUACUUAAACAGUAAAUAAUACCUCACAUUAAAGCUUUUGGUAGUAUCAAGUGUUGGGAGUCUACCUCAGUUUUAUGUUACAUUUAGUAAUGAAUGUAGUUCACUCCUAGCUAAUUGAAGGUAACAAUCUAUCUUCAUAAAUUCAUCCUUCCAUAUCCCUUAAAGUCUUUCAUCCAAUAAACAGUUUAGUGGUUAAUAAAUAAGCAGCUGUGCUGGUAACCUAAUACAUAGGAAUGAUUCUCUAUCUGGAAACUCCACAGUGACAAGACUUUCAUGCAUCUACCUCCUUAACUAUAAUCCAAGUGGUUCUUGAAGCUAAGCUAUUAUAACUUACUUUUAACUAACUUCUCUCUCAUGCACAACAAACCUAUAGUCCUCUCUCUAUACUAUCUUGUACAUAUAUCCACUAGGGAUGGGAAUUUCUGUGAGUGAAGACUGAUUGUCCUUGUUAUCUCUACAGCUAUGAUAUAUCACUGACUAUCAAUUAUCCAUGUUUAGUUUUCACUUUCAAUUUUCCCAAGAAUAAAAAUGAUAAUGAAUGAUCUUAUGAUCUGCUGUCUCUCUUAUCAGAGACCAGUAACUUUUGCAGAGUAAAGUCAAAUCAAAUGAGACUACUUAAUUCACAUACCAAAGGUCUCUUGUUUUGAAAACUUGGGUGAAAAUAGGUUCGUAAUCUUGUCAUCAGCAAAAGUCUUAACUGAUAUCUAACAACAAUUCCUGCUAAGAGGUUUUACCACAUGUCUGAUAACAUGAAUUAGAAGCUUUCUCAAUUUCAGUUUACUUCAAGGAUGUGUAGUCUCUGUCAGGGCAUGCUUCUGUGAAAUUAUGUUAUACUAUCCUCUUCUACAUGACUCAAAUGUCAUGUAGCCUCAGUUCUUGGCACAUUGGUCUUAACCAAAUUUCUGAUUGUGCAACUCAAAAUAUAAUCAUGCUAUUGAUUUCUUGAAUAUCCAUCACUUACCCUGUAAAUACUUUAGCCUUUUUUAAAGUUUACUACAGCUAUUUGACCAUUGCUAAGAUAUAUCCUUUCCUGUUUGUAAACCACUUCCACCUAAACUAAUUUGUUUUACAUACCUCUACCUUCAUUCAAUCCUAACCCAGUCAGUAUUCUUCAGAACUGCAUUUUCCUGAAACUCCCCUCCCAACAUCUGAUUUUAAAUAUUAACUGUUAUUUCCCUUGCUCUUAGAUAAGAAUUUGGUGCAUAUGCUCUGACACCAACCUAUUUCAUUAACCUCUUUUGUUUGGACUACAUUUAUUCAUAUGACUAGGAAUUUUUCAUUUGCUUUUUACUCAAAAAUUGAACAAUACAUGGUAUAAACUCUAAACUUCAUACUUCAUCCAAACUGCUUUUUUCAUUACAUCUAAUUAUAUACACAUUGACUAUACAUUCAUCAUCAUCAUCAUCGCCAUCAAGUGAUUUUCAAUCUUUUUUAGACUGUUUGUAUAAAUAACCACAGAACCCUGUUAUCCUUAUUCCUAAAUUACCAUCUGCUUCACAUUCUUUUAAUCAAAAUUUCCUCUCAGAAAAUUUAGGCCUUAAUUAUUGUUUUUGUAUAGCUCUUACCCUAUGACACUUCACUGUUUUUUUGGAACUUGUGAAUGCAUGCUUUCCAAAAAUGGUGUGUUAUUGGCAAUAAUUUCACAGUCUACAUACUGAGCAAAGUAAGCCUUACUAAUUUUGCUCUGUGAAGGUUUCUGUCACUUUGUUAUGUUCCCCACAACCCCUUUUGAUUUCAGAUUCUGUUUCCAGUUUUCAUGCUGCAGUACUUCCCAUUGAUUCAGCACUGACAACUAGGCCAUACUUAAGUUGGACUCUGCCAUAAGGGCCUGGAGAAGCAGUAUGAAAAGUAGAAGAUACCUUUUUGUACCUCAGAUUUUUCACUGUACGUAUUAACUCUGACCUGAUUUCUCAGAAUUAACUAAUGGCUUUUGCACAAUAUUUGCCCAUGUCUUGCAUCUAGACUUCUGUUCAAUACUAAGCAGAAAAUGUUUGAAACACUCUAAGAGUGAUUGUAGACUUGUGACAGUAAACUAGUUCUAAUUGAUGUUCAUCAGAUUUAGUUAUACCAAUGAAGCUACUAAGUCAUUUAGCCAGUACUUGUGGGCAAAUUAUAUUUCUAAUCCAUGCAGAAUACAUAAUAUAUGCCUUGACUACUUGUAGGUAAGCUAGCCUCAAUAAUAUCAUUUUGUAAUCUUAAACCAAUUUCUUAGUCACUCAUCAUAUUUUAUUAUAUAUUUUUGGUUCUUCUUCCUCUUUAUGGUAACCAAAUAUUUCUUAAUUUUUUUCUUCAUAUUCUUGCACAAUUUGGAAACUGUUACCAAUCUAACUUUUAAGUUACUGCAAACAGAAUGUUCAACAUUCAAGACUGAGAAAAGAUUUGCUUUACUAUUUGGUAUCCAGUUGUUCUCUUUCACUGGUCGCUGUACAUUUAGCAUACUGAGUAGUAGCCUUUUGUCAUUACAACUAUUGUGCUAACAACUUCACUAUCGGCAUCAAUUUAACAUCCAGUUUUCCAUGUUUGCAUGGGUCAGACAUAAUUUAUUGAGGAUACCCUUCCAGACACUAACCCUCAUCUGUUUCCAAGCAAGUUAUUUCCUUGUGGUAUGACACUUGUAUGAUGAUGAUACUCAUUGACAACUAUCGUGAUAUCAAGACAAGGGUACACAUAUAUACAUACAUGUUAUUUCAAGUAGUAAAAAUAUUAUGAACAUCUUUUUAUAAUCAAUUUUCUACUGUUGAUUCAGUUGGUCAGAUAUAAUUCUUAAUAGACAUUUUUUCUCAAUGGUUUUGUGUUUUUUUAGUGGCCUUCACAUAGGCACUGUUGAAGAUCAUGGAAAAUAGACAUAAAAUAUAAAUUGGUGAAACGAUGUUCAAUAGAGUAAUCUUUUCAUAAUUCAAAAAAGUGUUCUAUGAAGGUGUUAAAAGUCUGAAAAUCUUGAAUAUCAAUGCAUAUAGAUUAAUUACUAAAAAUUUUUUUUUUGUUA
RNAcentral lists this long non-coding RNA (4941 nucleotides) under Octopus sinensis (East Asian common octopus). Its description in RNAcentral is "uncharacterized LOC118764304". Lineage: Eukaryota; Metazoa; Mollusca; Cephalopoda; Octopoda; Octopodidae. The record is from RNAcentral.